AGGGGAUCUUCGGACCUUUCGCUAUGAGAUGAGCCUGCGUUAGAUUAGCUAGUUGGUAGGGUAAAGGCCUACCAAGGCGACGAUCUAUAGCUGGUCUGAGAGGACGAUCAGCCACACUGGGACUGAGACACGGCCCAGACUCCUACGGGAGGCAGCAGUGGGGAAUAUUGGACAAUGGGCGAAAGCCUGAUCCAGCAAUACCGCGUGUGUGAAGAAGGCCUUAGGGUUGUAAAGCACUUUCAAUUGGGAGGAAAACCUGCCGGCCAAUACCCGGUAGCUUGACAUUACCUUUAGAAGAAGCACCGGCUAACUCCGUGCCAGCAGCCGCGGUAAUACGGAGGAUGCGAGCGUUAAUCGGAAUUACUGGGCGUAAAGCGUGCGUAGGCGGUUCGUUAAGUCAGAUGUGAAAGCCCUGGGCUCAACCUGGGAACUGCAUUUGAAACUGGCGGACUAGAGUUUAGUAGAGGGGAGUGGAAUUUCAGGUGUAGCGGUGAAAUGCGUAGAUAUCUGAAGGAACACCAGUGGCGAAGGCGACUCCCUGGACUAGAACUGACGCUGAGGUACGAAAGCGUGGGUAGCAAACAGGAUUAGAUACCCUGGUAGUCCACGCCGUAAACGAUGUCGACUAGC
This 630-nucleotide ribosomal RNA is filed under the name uncultured Methylobacter sp. Its description in RNAcentral is "bacterial SSU rRNA". It matches the Rfam family "Bacterial small subunit ribosomal RNA", at positions 202 to 820 of the family's 1533-position model. The record is from RNAcentral. Lineage: Bacteria; Pseudomonadati; Pseudomonadota; Gammaproteobacteria; Methylococcales; Methylococcaceae.